RNAcentral lists this ribosomal RNA (508 nucleotides) under uncultured bacterium. RNAcentral's name for it is "partial 16S ribosomal RNA". It matches the Rfam family "Bacterial small subunit ribosomal RNA", at positions 28 to 523 of the family's 1533-position model. The record is from RNAcentral.
GAUGAACGCUAGCUACAGGCUUAACACAUGCAGGUCGAGGGGAAACGACAUCGAAAGCUUGCUUUUGAUGGGCGUCGACCGGCGCACGGGUGAGUAACGCGUAUCCAACCUGCCCACCACUUGGGGAUAACCUUGCGAAAGUAAGACUAGUACCCAAUGACGUCUCUAGAAGACAUCUGAAAGAGAUUAAAGAUUUAUCGGUGAUGGAUGGGGAUGCGUCUGAUUAGCUUGUUGGCGGGGUAACGGCCCACCAAGGCGACGAUCAGUAGGGGUUCUGAGAGGAAGGUCCCCCACAUUGGAACUGAGACACGGUCCAAACUCCUACGGGAGGCAGCAGUGAGGAAUAUUGGUCAAUGGGCGAGAGCCUGAACCAGCCAAGUAGCGUGCAGGAUGACGGCCCUAUGGGUUGUAAACUGCUUUUAUAAGGGAAUAGAGUGAGUCUCGUGAGACUUUUUGCAUGUACCUUAUGAAUAAGGACCGGCUAAUUCCGUGCCAGCCGCCGCCGUAA